This 346-nucleotide long non-coding RNA is filed under the name Struthio camelus australis. RNAcentral's name for it is "lncRNA (ENSSCUG00000002010.1)". Lineage: Eukaryota; Metazoa; Chordata; Aves; Struthioniformes; Struthionidae. The record is from RNAcentral.
UAACGGACGGGAGCGGGGCCGUUGGUGGGACGUGACAGCCACACACUCAGAUGAAGCAUUCUUGUACCAGUGAAGCUUCUCCAAAUUUAUAAUGAGUAUCAAUACUGAAGUAGACUUUUGUCUCCUCUACUAGCAGUGGUUCGGGCAGUGUUGAGCUCCCAGUCAUAUAAAGGAGUAGAGGCUUCUGCUUUCUCCCCAUCACAGUUGCAUCCAUUCCUUUGCCUGUUACUACAUAUUUUGAGAUACUCUAAUGAAAUUCAAAUAAAUUUAGAGUGCUGCUGGGCAACUGUAUACGUUGUGUAAAAAUACAUUCCUCUGUCGUCUUCUGACCCAGGAGAUACAUCGC